Mangifera indica (mango) is the source of this 2814-nucleotide RNA transcript. RefSeq lists it as uncharacterized. NCBI's taxonomy places the organism in Eukaryota, Viridiplantae, Streptophyta, Magnoliopsida, Sapindales, Anacardiaceae. The record is from RefSeq and is a predicted model, not a curated record. The transcript has 7 exons.
UUGACUCGCACGUGUCAUCCGUUUGAGCAUAGUUCAGACAUUUUCUUUUUUCGGUCUUUCUCUAAAACCGAUAAUAGAACUUCUUUAUCUCAUUAACUCUCUCUCUCUCUCAAAGCUAAGCUGAGUUGAGAUCAAUCGCUCAACAGAGAUCGUAUUACCACUCGAAGAAUAAUUGAAGAAUGUGCUAAACUUUUGUCUACAAGAUCGUGUUUGCUGUCCUCCUUUCUUUGGUGUUUAUCUAAGAAAUAAAUAUGCAUUAAGCAAUGGCAUUCUAAUAUAAUAGUGAAAUUAAUGGAGGACAGCUUAAACUUAGGAGAUCUGCGUGUGAAUACAGUUAGACAGUCAUCCUUUAGACAGGGUGGCAGCUUUAAGUCCACAUUGUCAGGAAGAUCGACACCAAAGAAUUCUCCUUCAUUUCGGAGAUUGAAUGCAAGCCGAACUCCAAGAAGAGACGCUAGAAGCAAUGCCUUACAGUGGUUUCGAAGCAAUCGAUUGGUAUAUUGGUUGCUUUUAAUUACUCUUUGGACUUAUCUUGGGUUUUAUGUUCAGUCCAGGUGGGCUCAUGGUGAUAACGAUAAUAAAUUUCUAGGAUUUGGAGGUAAACGCAGAAAUGGGAUUGUGGACUCUCAACAGAAUAAACGCCGUGAUUUGAUUGCCAAUGACAGUUAUCUGCCAGUAAAUAAAGGGGCAACUAACAUUGAGGUGUUAGAUACUAAAAAAAUAGAUGUGGUUUUGUCUGAUAAAGGGAAUGGUGCUUCUUCUCAUCGGGUUGUAACUAAACGAAAGAGGAGGAGGCAUAGUGUGCGUGGUAAAGGGCGUGGUAAACAGAAGACAAAGACAGAUGUUGAAAGCAAUGGCAUAGAGCCACAGCAGCCAGAAAUUCCUAAUACAAAUGCUUCUUAUGGUUUACUAUUUGGACCAUUUGGCCUGAUAGAGGAUAGGAUUUUAGAAUGGAGUCCGGAAAAGCGAUCAGGGACAUGUGACAGGAAGGGAGCCUUUGCACGUCUUGUCUGGUCUAGGAAGUUUAUUUUGAUUUUCCAUGAACUUUCAAUGACUGGUGCUCCACUUUCAAUGAUGGAAUUUGCAACAGAGCUUUUGAGCUGUGGAGCCACAGUUUCAGCUGUAGUUCUCAGUAAGAAAGGUGGAUUGAUGCCAGAACUCAGUAGGAGAAAAAUCAAAGUGCUUGAGGACAAAGGAGAACUGAGUUUUAAAGCUUCAAUGAAAGCAGAUCUUGUCAUUGCGGGAUCAGCAGUUUGUGCAUCAUGGAUUGAUCAAUAUAUCGAUCGUUUUCCAGCUGGCGGAAAUCAAAUCGUCUGGUGGAUCAUGGAAAAUCGAAGAGAGUACUUUGAUCGGGCAAAGCCUAUUCUUCACAUGGUGAAGAAGCUUAUUUUUCUUUCUGAAUCACAGACCAAACAAUGGCUAAUCUGGUGUGAUGAAGAAAAGAUCAAACUAAGAUCUCAGCCUGCAGUUGUUCCUCUUUCUGUUAAUGAUGAAUUGGCUUUUGUAGCUGGCUAUAAGUGUUCACUAAAUACUCCAACUAAUAGCCCUGAGAAGAUGCUGGAGAAAAUGCAACUAUUGCGAGAUUCAGUUCGAAAUGAGAUGGGAUUGACUGAUAAUGAUAUUCUUGUGAUGUCUCUAAGUAGUAUAAAUGCUGGAAAGGGCCAGCUCUUGCUUGUUGAGUCUGCUCAGCUAAUGUUUGAACAAGAAGCUUUAAGAAAUGAUUCUAGAAUAAGAAAAGUGAAUGAACGCAAGGGCAAAUAUACAUUGUCUGGAAGGCAUCAUUUACGAGGUUUGCUUCAAACAUCAAAUGAUGUUGCUGUAUCUUCAAGUGAAUUUUCCAUUUUCAGUGACUCUUUUACUAGGUUGGUUGAACCUAAGAGGAAUGGUUUACCAUUACCUAGUCUCUAUAACUCUGUCGAUGCAGAGGCUGUGAGCUUUAUCAGUGGUCAGAAAAGAAGGAAAGUGCUGUCUGAGGAUGGAGAAACAAAGAAACAGGCUCUUAAACUUCUUAUUGGUUCUGUUGGAUCUAAGAGCAAUAAGGUGCCUUAUGUCAAGGAGAUUUUACAGUUUUUAUCCCAGCACUCUAACUUGUCGAACUCUGUGAUGUGGACUCCAGCAACAACUCGUGUUGCAUCUCUUUACUCUGCAGCUGAUGUGUAUGUUAUUAACUCCCAGGGACUGGGAGAAACAUUUGGAAGAGUGACAAUUGAAGCAAUGGCAUUUGGUCUGCCGGUGCUUGGAACAGACACUGGAGGCACAAAAGAAAUUGUUGAGCACAAUGUAACAGGAUUACUGCAUCCUCCAGGCCAUCCAGGAAGCCCUGUUCUGGCUCAAAAUCUCAGGUUUUUGCUUAAAAACCCAUCAGCAAGGAAACAGAUGGGGAUGGAAGGAAGGAAAAAAGUCGGAAAACUGUACUUGAAGCGGCACAUGUACAAGAAAUUGGGAGAGGUUCUCUAUACGUGCAUGAGAUUCAAAUAAGGUCCACCACUAGGUGCAUCCCAAGCUGCCUUUCUCCCGGCCUUUCUAAGUCUCAACUCAAAGACCCCCGAUACUUUUGCAAGCUUGGCUGUGCCAUCUCCUCUUGCACCAAUAUCAGCACAAAAGACGACGCAGCUGCAGAGAAAGUGGGAUACUGUGUGAGUUCCUGCUCAAAGACUUGCACCAAGAAAUAGUGAUUGCUGAGAGCACCAAGAAAUAGUGAUUGCUGAGAACACCAUAUACCCAAGAAGAGUUACAGUUUAUUAGUUUAAUAAAAACUUUGUGUCGACUGCGUUUUUAACUUGUUAUCCAAUUGAAUAAAACAACGUUUGGUAA